RNAcentral lists this ribosomal RNA (440 nucleotides) under uncultured bacterium. RNAcentral's name for it is "partial 16S ribosomal RNA". It matches the Rfam family "Bacterial small subunit ribosomal RNA", at positions 338 to 795 of the family's 1533-position model. The record is from RNAcentral.
CCUACGGGAGGCAGCAGUAGGGAAUAUUGCUCAAUGGGGGAAACCCUGAAGCAGCAACGCCGCGUGGAGGAUGAAGGUUUUCGGAUUGUAAACUCCUUUUGUUAGAGAAGAUAAUGACGGUAUCUAACGAAUAAGCACCGGCUAACUCCGUGCCAGCAGCCGCGGUAAUACGGAGGGUGCAAGCGUUACUCGGAAUCACUGGGCUGAAAGAGCGCGGAGGCGGGAUAGCAAGUCAGAUGUGAAAUCAUAUGGCUUAACCAUAGAACUGCAUUUGAAACUGUUAUUCUAGAGUAUGGGAGAGGUAGGUGGAAUUCUUGGUGUAGGGGUAAAAUCCGUAGAGAUCAAGAGGAAUACUCAGUGCGAAGGCGACCUGCUAGAACAUAACUGACGCUGAUGCGCGAAAGCGUGGGGAGCAAACAGGAUUAGAUACCCGAGUAGUC